This 1531-nucleotide ribosomal RNA is filed under the name Salmonella enterica. Its description in RNAcentral is "partial 23S ribosomal RNA". It matches the Rfam family "Bacterial large subunit ribosomal RNA", at positions 626 to 2141 of the family's 2925-position model. The record is from RNAcentral. Lineage: Bacteria; Pseudomonadati; Pseudomonadota; Gammaproteobacteria; Enterobacterales; Enterobacteriaceae.
ACUUAUAUUCUGUAGCAAGGUUAACCGAAUAGGGGAGCCGGAGGGAAACCGAGUCUUAAUUGGGCGUUAAGUUGCAGGGUAUAGACCCGAAACCCGGUGAUCUAGCCAUGGGCAGGUUGAAGGUUGGGUAACACUAACUGGAGGACCGAACCGACUAAUGUUGAAAAAUUAGCGGAUGACCUGUGGCUGGGGGUGAAAGGCCAAUCAAACCGGGAGAUAGCUGGUUCUCCCCGAAAGCUAUUUAGGUAGCGCCUCGUGAAUUCAUCUCCGGGGGUAGAGCACUGUUUCGGCUAGGGGGCCAUCCCGGCUUACCAACCCGAUGCAAACUGCGAAUACCGGAGAAUGUUAUCACGGGAGACACACGGCGGGUGCUAACGUCCGUCGUGAAGAGGGAAACAACCCAGACCGCCAGCUAAGGUCCCAAAGUCAUAGUUAAGUGGGAAACGAUGUGGGAAGGCCCAGACAGCCAGGAUGUUGGCUUAGAAGCAGCCAUCAUUUAAAGAAAGCGUAAUAGCUCACUGGUCGAGUCGGCCUGCGCGGAAGAUGUAACGGGGCUAAACUAUGCACCGAAGCUGCGGCAGCGACACUAUGUGUUGUUGGGUAGGGGAGCGUUCUGUAAGCCUGUGAAGGUGUGUCGUGAGGCAUGCUGGAGGUAUCAGAAGUGCGAAUGCUGACAUAAGUAACGAUAAAGCGGGUGAAAAGCCCGCUCGCCGGAAGACCAAGGGUUCCUGUCCAACGUUAAUCGGGGCAGGGUGAGUCGACCCCUAAGGCGAGGCCGAAAGGCGUAGUCGAUGGGAAACGGGUUAAUAUUCCCGUACUUGGUGUUACUGCGAAGGGGGGACGGAGAAGGCUAUGUUGGCCGGGCGACGGUUGUCCCGGUUUAAGCGUGUAGGUGUGUGUUCCAGGUAAAUCCGGUUCACUUUAACACUGAGGCGUGAUGACGAGGCACUACGGUGCUGAAGCAACAAAUGCCCUGCUUCCAGGAAAAGCCUCUAAGCAUCAGGUAACAUCAAAUCGUACCCCAAACCGACACAGGUGGUCAGGUAGAGAAUACCAAGGCGCUUGAGAGAACUCGGGUGAAGGAACUAGGCAAAAUGGUGCCGUAACUUCGGGAGAAGGCACGCUGACACGUAGGUGAAGUGAUUUACUCAUGGAGCUGAAGUCAGUCGAAGAUACCAGCUGGCUGCAACUGUUUAUUAAAAACACAGCACUGUGCAAACACGAAAGUGGACGUAUACGGUGUGACGCCUGCCCGGUGCCGGAAGGUUAAUUGAUGGGGUCAGCGCAAGCGAAGCUCCUGAUCGAAGCCCCGGUAAACGGCGGCCGUAACUAUAACGGUCCUAAGGUAGCGAAAUUCCUUGUCGGGUAAGUUCCGACCUGCACGAAUGGCGUAAUGAUGGCCAGGCUGUCUCCACCCGAGACUCAGUGAAAUUGAACUCGCUGUGAAGAUGCAGUGUACCCGCGGCAAGACGGAAAGACCCCGUGAACCUUUACUAUAGCUUGACACUGAACAUUGAGCCUUGAUGUGUAG